CUUCAACGAUCCCAGCCACAGCGGGCGAUCCGCAUCCCGGUCCUGCCCGUAGGUGGCCAGCAGCGCUUGGGCCUC
This 75-nucleotide antisense RNA is filed under the name Nocardia bhagyanarayanae. Its description in RNAcentral is "ASpks TB sRNA". It matches the Rfam family "ASpks TB sRNA". The record is from RNAcentral. Lineage: Bacteria; Bacillati; Actinomycetota; Actinomycetes; Mycobacteriales; Nocardiaceae.